AAGUCGUAACAAGGUUUCCGUAGGUGAACCUGCGGAAGGAUCAUUACAAAACACUUUUGGCGGCUUCGGCCCCAGAGUAUAUCCUGUUUACGUGUAUAUCUGUUGCUCCCUCGGCGGUUAUCCGCCGAUGGAUGCCCUCCAAAACCUUUUGCAAUAGCCGUAACAUCAGACAAUAUUUAAUUAUUACAACUUUCAACAAUGGAUCUCUUGGUUCUG
This 216-nucleotide unclassified non-coding RNA is filed under the name air metagenome. RNAcentral describes it as "partial contains small subunit ribosomal RNA, internal transcribed spacer 1, and 5.8S ribosomal RNA". The stretch from base 1 to 46 matches the Rfam family "Eukaryotic small subunit ribosomal RNA", at positions 1786 to 1831 of the family's 1831-position model. The record is from RNAcentral.